UACGAAGGGGGCGAGCGUUGUUCGGAUUUACUGGGCGUAAAGGGCGCGUAGGCGGCGGGUCAAGUCGAGUGUGAAAGCCCCGGGCUCAACCUGGGAGGUGCGCUCGUGACUGGUCUGCUUGAGUUCGGGAGAGGAGAGUGGAAUUCCCAGUGUAGAGGUGAAAUUCGUAGAUAUUCGCAAGAACACCAGUGGCGAAGGCGGCUCACUGGCCCGGUACUGACGCUGAGGUGCGAAAGCGUGGGGAGCAAACAGG
Molecule: ribosomal RNA, 253 nt
Filed under: uncultured bacterium
Lineage: Bacteria
Description: partial 16S ribosomal RNA
Rfam family: Bacterial small subunit ribosomal RNA
Source: RNAcentral